This 253-nucleotide ribosomal RNA is filed under the name uncultured bacterium. RNAcentral's name for it is "partial 16S ribosomal RNA". It matches the Rfam family "Bacterial small subunit ribosomal RNA", at positions 524 to 776 of the family's 1533-position model. The record is from RNAcentral.
UACGGAGGGUGCAAGCGUUAUCCGGAUUCACUGGGUUUAAAGGGUGCGUAGGAGGGUAGGUAAGUCAGUGGUGAAAUCUUCGGGCUUAACUCGGAAACUGCCGUUGAUACUAUCUAUCUUGAAUACCGUGGAGGUGAGCGGAAUAUGUCAUGUAGCGGUGAAAUGCUUAGAUAUGACAUAGAACACCAAUUGCGAAGGCAGCUCGCUACACGAAUAUUGACUCUGAGGUGCGAAAGCGUGGGGAGCAAACAGG